Long non-coding RNA from Tympanuchus pallidicinctus (lesser prairie-chicken), 2891 nucleotides. RefSeq lists it as uncharacterized. The transcript has 3 exons. The record is from RefSeq and is a predicted model, not a curated record. Lineage: Eukaryota; Metazoa; Chordata; Aves; Galliformes; Phasianidae.
UCAUUAGGCAGCAGCUGCUGUUGCUGAGGAAUGUAUGUCACAAGUCAGUGAUUUCAUGUCACUCCCCCUCCUCUUGAUACCAGGCGCUGUGAUUACAUAGUCCAGUUGGAAAUUCUUAGCAAUUUUCCUUCAAGAGACCCCUAUGCUCAGAUUUAGGGAGGUGGGAAACAGCCGCUCUAAACUCUGCUCAGUUAGAAGAUUUCCGUAGGGAAAUUGCUGUUUAUAAGGAAAGCAAGGAAGCUUUGCAGAUGAGUAUUUGGUGGAGAGCAAAGGCUGAAGAUGAAUCUACUUUUAGGAUACCUAAAGUACUAUGCACAUUCUCCUUCUAUAUAAGGAAUACAUGUAGCCACCGCAUGCCAUGGAGCGUGCUGAAAAUCUCAGGUUUGGGCCACUUCCCUUUCCCCAUCGCUGUAGAGGUGAGAUCACAUUAAGACUUUGUAUUUGCAUGUUGCCAGCAACAGAAGCACCCAAUCUGCACCUCCUGGCAGCCGCUGUGGGGACACUGAGUUCCUCCAGCCCCAUGGAACUGACUUUGGCACCGCGGAAAAAUUUUUAUUAUACUAUUAACAGCUGGACAUUUAAACCAGUGGGAUUUCUUUAAACAUCCGUGGGCCAGCUGCAUCCCCAGAGUUUGUACUGACAGAAGAAUCCCUAAGGAAUUGGUGAAAGCCUCCCUGAUCUGGCAUCUGUGACAACGUGAAGUGCAUACAUCUGACUGGGAGAAAGGAGUGAAAAGCAGGAGGCAGCUCUGCAUGUUUAGGAGUCCCUUUAGCAAGGCUUCAAUGGAGGCAAACUCAUCCGAGCCCAGGAACGGGAUGAAAAAAUGGAUCCCUUCAGAGGAGGUGAAAUGAAGCGAUUGGUUGACGUUAUCCCUCCAGCACUUCUGUGCACUCUCUGAUGAGAAGACAGCAUAGUUGAGAGUGGCUGCAAGCUGAUGCAGUGUUGUUUGAAGGCUGAUGGAUACUGGCAUUAACUGAGCUUUCAGCACAGCUUCUCCUAUUAGAAGGAUGAGUUUAAAAGCCACUAUGUCUGCCCAGUCAGGAUUACGUCGCAUAGCUUUGAGGUCUUCAUGGGGACUGCUAAAAAGCCCCAGCAGUUCAGAAAUCACUCCAGAUAGCGUCUCGCUGGCUUCACUAUCCCCUGUGCUAUUCAUUCUCUGUCUCAUGUCAACGAUGUAAAGCCUACAGGUAGAGAUUUUCUCCUUCUUGCAUCGACAAUCCUCACAAGACAGUUCUGCUUCUCUUGCUUUGCAGAGGGAGUUCAGAUUCUCUAAUAGCUGAGCAUGAAAUGAUGUAUUCCUCUUGUCUGCUGCUGGGAACAGCCAGCUGUGCCUUUCUUCCUGCAGCAGAGAGAUGAGGCGAAUGGCCCAAAGGGUUUCACAGGAGGCAAGUUCCUGAAGGGCCUUCCCUGUGCUUCUCCAUGCUUCCAAGCUGCUGCUCAGAUCAAAGGAAACAGCUCCAAGGAGGCUGCAGAGGGAGACCACGCAUGCCAGCAGGAUCCUUUGAGCUGUUUUUCUACCACCAGCACUGGAAAAGGAAGAAUAUCUAAAAGAAAGAAAUCAAAGAAGGAAAAGAGGGAAGGGAUGUGGCAGGGGAGUCUGAUCAUGGUGGUAUUUCUUACAGCUCCCGAAAAUAUGGCUGGAGCUAACAGUGAUACAUCCUGAAAUGAAGCAAAGGGAUCGAGCAUUAGCUGUACAUUAUUGAAAGAAAUAUUUGGUCGUAUUUUUUUCCUUCUGAUGCUUUCUUUUAAAAGAAAAUGGUGGAAAAGAGACAGUUCUUGUGAUGCUGGGAUGGGAUCGUGCCAUUCUCCUGUGAGUAUGAAGAGAGAUAUGAGUGUUUGCAGUGGGUUUUAUUCCCUGUGGAGCUCCUGUUUAAACCUCAAAGCAGCCCAUGAAAAAACGGCUCUGUGAUUUCAGUGGUUGUGAUCUGCAACUGUUAAAAAUUUUAAUCAAAGUUGUGACCAAAACUUUUGGAAUUUGUUCUUAAUGGGGAAUUUCCAGAAAAUGGAUGAUUUGCGUUGAUACGUUUAAAUAUGCUUAAAUAUUUCCACUUUGUUGUCCAAAUAUUUCAAGAGGGAAAUUAUUCAAAUUUCAGUUCUGUUUCAGUUUUUACAGGAGUACACAUCCCCAUCUGUUACUUUUUUGUCUGCAAUAUUUGUUGUCUGUGCCUCACGGUUACCUCUUCUCUUCCGCAACACUCGUAAUUGACACCCAGUCUGCACAGCAAAAUAACCUCUUAACAAUUUUCAAUUAACUGUUUACAACCCUGCCUUAAUGAUGCUCACACAAGCAACUCAGGAUGUUACAAUGAAGCACCCAAACAACCUUCCUCUCCAACUGCUAAAGCACCAACAAGCAACCAGGCUGCUGAUCGGAAGGAGAGAGAUCUGCAGCAAUGCUGCCAGCACCCACUGCUGCAUCUGACCAUUCCUGCUGCUGAACCCCGACACCCCCAGGUGUCACGGGGUGCUGUCUGUAAAAGCACUUUGCAGUGCUGCCACACUCACCUGUGCUGAUCUGCUGGCACCCGUGCUGCCUUCUCACCGGGCAUCUCCACUGCUGGUCCCACUGCUGGUCCCACUCGGAUCCCAUCUGCUGCCUGCCCACCUCCUGCUAUGCCAGCGCUUUGCUUCCUCACCCCUCUACCCUCAGAGUUGUUCCUGUGGCUCUCCACUCUUCUGAUCCUCACUCCUCUCACAGCGGGCUCGCACCCCCCAGGGAAUAUCAAGCUCCAGCCCAAGGUAGGGGAAAGGCUUUAAAAGGUCCUCAGUGUUAUCGCGAAAUGCGUGCUCGGCUCUUGACAACGCACAAGAAGAAAUGACAGAGACACGUGUUUUUCUUUCAUGUUGCAAAAAACAGUGUUUAUUGCAGUGAAAAGCGUAAUUUCCCAGCU